Molecule: ribosomal RNA, 430 nt
Filed under: uncultured bacterium
Lineage: Bacteria
Description: bacterial SSU rRNA
Rfam family: Bacterial small subunit ribosomal RNA
Source: RNAcentral
CCUUACCUGGGCUUAAAUGCAGGCUGCAUUCGGCUGAAAGGCUGAUUCCCUUCGGGGCUGCCUGCAAGGUGCUGCAUGGUUGUCGUCAGCUCGUGCCGUGAGGUGUCGGGUUAAGUCCCAUAACGAGCGCAACCCCUACCGUUAGUUGCCAUCGGGUCAAGCCGGGGACUCUAGCGGGACUGCCACCGUAAGGUGAGAGGAAGGCGGGGAUGACGUCAAAUCAGCACGGCCCUUAUGUCCAGGGCUACACACGUGUUACAAUGGCCGGUACGAAGGGCAGCGACUGCGCGAGCAGGGGCUAAUCCUAAAAGCCGGUCCCAGUUCGGAUUGGAGUCUGCAACCCGACUCCAUGAAGUUGGAUUCGCUAGUAAUCGGAUAUCAGCAACGAUCCGGUGAAUACGUUCCCGGGCCUUGUACACACCGCCCGUCA